AGAGUUUGAUCAUGGCUCAGAACGAACGUUGGCGGCGUGGAUUAGGCAUGCAAGUCGAACGAAUCCCCGCAAGGGGGGAAGUGGCGAAAGGGGCAGUAAGGCAUGGAUAACCUACCCUGGGGUUGGGCAUAGCCGUUCUAACGGACGGGUAAUACCCAGCGAUGUGCGUGCGGCACCUGCCGCGUGUACGAAAGGUUACGCCUCGGGAGGGGUCCAUGUAGUAUUAGCUUGUUGGUGGGGUAACGGCCCACCAAGGCGAAGAUGCUUAGCGGGUGUGAGAGCACGACCCGCGCCACUGGCACUGAGACACUGGCCAGACACCUACGGGUGGCUGCAGUCGAGGAUCUUCGGCAAUGGGCGAAAGCCUGACCGAGCGACGCCGCGUGCGCGACGAAGGCCUUCGGGUUGUAAAGCGCUUUGGUGGGGGAGGAAGGCGCAAGCUUGACCUAUCCCAAGAACAAGCACGGGCUAAGUUCGUGCCAGCAGCCGCGGUAAUUC
Molecule: ribosomal RNA, 498 nt
Filed under: uncultured bacterium
Lineage: Bacteria
Description: bacterial SSU rRNA
Rfam family: Bacterial small subunit ribosomal RNA
Source: RNAcentral